UAGAGGUUGAUCCUGGCUCAGAUUGAACGCUGGCGGCAGGCCUAACACAUGCAAGUCGAGCGGUAGCACAAGAGAGCUUGCUCUCUGGGUGACGAGCGGCGGACGGGUGAGUAAUGUCUGGGAAACUGCCUGAUGGCGGGGGAUAACUAGUGGAAACGGUAGCUAAUACCGCAUAACGUCGCAAGACCAAAGUGGGGGACCUUCGGGCCUCACGCCAUCAGAUGUGCCCAGGUGGGAUUAGCUGGUAGGUAGGGUAACGGCUCACCUAGGCGACGAUCCCUAGCUGGUCUGAGAGGAUGACCAGCCACACUGGAACUGAGACACGGUCCAGACUCCUACGGGAGGCAGCAGUGGGGAAUAUUGCACAAUGGGCGCAAGCCUGAUGCAGCCAUGCCGCGUGUGUGAAGAGGGCCUUCGGGUUGUAAAGCACUUUCAGCGAGGAGGAAGGGUAAUGUGUUAAUAAGACAUUGC
This 471-nucleotide ribosomal RNA is filed under the name Serratia symbiotica. RNAcentral's name for it is "bacterial SSU rRNA". It matches the Rfam family "Bacterial small subunit ribosomal RNA", at positions 1 to 478 of the family's 1533-position model. The record is from RNAcentral. Lineage: Bacteria; Pseudomonadati; Pseudomonadota; Gammaproteobacteria; Enterobacterales; Yersiniaceae.